Molecule: non-coding RNA, 507 nt
Organism: Acomys russatus (golden spiny mouse)
Lineage: Eukaryota; Metazoa; Chordata; Mammalia; Rodentia; Muridae
Source: the annotation of a RefSeq genome assembly
AUGGGAUGGAGCUGCGUCAUCCUCUUCCUCCUCUCAGUAACUACAGGUGUCCACUCUCAGGUACAGCUGCAGCAGUCUGAGGCAGAGCUGAGGAGACCUGGGUCCUCAGUGAAGUUGUCCUGCAAGGCUUCUGGCUACACCUUCACAGAGUAUGAGAUGAGCUGGAUGAAGCAGAAGCCAGGACAGGGCAUGGAGUGGAUUGGAUAUAUUUAUCCUGGAAAUGAUGGUACUAGCUACAAUCAGAAGUUCAAGGGCAAGGCCACACUGACUGCAGACAAAUCCUCCAGCACAGCUUACAUGGAGCUCAGCAGCCUGACUUCUGAGGACACUGCCGUCUAUUACUGUGCGGGAGACACAGUGUUGCAACCACAUCCUGAGAUUGUCAGAAACCCUGGAGGAGCAGGAAGCUACCCUGGGGCUGAGAUGAAAGGGAAGUGUAGCCUGGAGACUUGCUCAGAAAUAAUAAUUUUGAGCAUUCAUUUUUCAGCUCUUCUCAUAGUCUCAUAG